Mirounga angustirostris (Northern elephant seal) is the source of this 380-nucleotide long non-coding RNA. RefSeq lists it as uncharacterized. Lineage: Eukaryota; Metazoa; Chordata; Mammalia; Carnivora; Phocidae. The record is from RefSeq and is a predicted model, not a curated record. The transcript has 3 exons.
CAAGCACCCUUCUUUCUCAUUUUUCUUUUAAUUUUGUUGUUGUUGUUUUGAGCCAGAUUCUAAGGCGAGUAGAGGCAGAUCUCUCAAGAUUCCAGCAAGGAAGAUGAUACCAUCAAACCCUGCUCAGCAGACUUCAAGGGACUUCAAAUUCAGGAAAUGGUGUGGGAAAAAUGAUUUGAAAAUUCUGAAGUGCUACACAAAAAGCCUAUUAUUAUUAUCUGGAUGAUAUACCGGAUCCAAAAGCAAAAAGAAAUCAAGGAUGUGCUGGGACUGGCUCUGUGGCCUGCUCUGAGACAACGUUUACAUACGUUCACCAUGUUUUUAAUCAUUUCCUGGCAAUUCUGGAGAGGAACAAGGUAAUGAUACUGUGCCCUUCCUUG